This is a long non-coding RNA of Papio anubis (olive baboon), 2516 nucleotides long. NCBI's taxonomy places the organism in Eukaryota, Metazoa, Chordata, Mammalia, Primates, Cercopithecidae. The record is from Ensembl.
AUCAAGGAAGUGAAAGAUCUCUACAAGCAGAACUGCAAAACACUGCUCAGAGAAAUCAGAGAUGAUACAAACAAAUGGAAAAACAUUCCAUGCUCAUGGAUAGGAAGAAUCAACAUCAUUACAGUGGCCAUACUGCCCAAAGCAAUUUAUAGAUUCAACACUAUUUCUAUUAAACUACCUACGACAUUCAUUACAGAAGUAGAAGUAUUUUAAAAUUUAUGAGGAACUAAAAAGGAGCCCGAAUAGGCAAGGCAAUCCUAAGAAAAAGAACAAAGCUGGAGGCAUCAUGCUAUCUGACUUCAAACUAUACUACAGAGCUAUGGUAACCAAAACAGCAUGGUACUAGUACAAAAACAGGCACAAAGUCGAAUGGAACAGAAUAAAGAACCCAGAAAUAAGGCCACACAACUACAACUAUUGGAUCUUUGACAAAGCUGACAAAAACAAGCAAUGAGGAAAAGACUCCCUACUCAAUAAAUGAUGCUGGGAUAACUGGCUAGCCACAUGUAGAAGAUUGAAACCAGACCCCAGACCCCUUCCUUACACCAUAUACAAAAAUUAACUCAAGAUGGAUUAAAAACUUAAAUGUAAAACCCAAAAUUAUAAAAACCCUGGAAGGCAACCUAGGCAAUGCAGUUCUGGAAUAGGAACAAGCAAAGAUUUCAUGACAAAGACACCAAAAGCAAUUGCAACAAAAGCAAAAAUGGACAAAUGGGAUCUAAUUAAACUAAAGAGCUUCUGCACAGCAAAAGAAACUAUUAACAUAGUGAACAGAUAACUUACAGAAUGGGAGAAAAAUUUUUCAAGCUACGCGUCUGAGAAAGGUCUAAUAUUCGGCAUCCAUAAGGAACUUAAACAAAUGUACCAGGUAAAAAACUCAAACAACCCAAUUAAAAAGUGGGCAAAGGACAUGAAAAGACACUUUUAAAAAGAGGAUAUGCAUGUGGCCAACAAUCAUAUGAAAAAAAGCUUAACAUUACCGAUUAUUAGAGAAAUGCAAAUCAAAACCACAAUGAGAUACUGUCUCAUACAAGUCAGAAUGGCUAUUAUUAAAAAGUCAAAAAAUAACAUGCUGGUGAGGUUGCAGAGAAAAAAGAAUGUUUAAAAAAUUGCUGAACUCCAAGGCUUGGAGGACUUACUACCUGUCAUGGCUACUGGCGAUCACUUACUCUGCCAGGUGUCCUAUUAACAGGGUUUGACCUGUCGUUUAAAUGUAAAUACGGCUUAGGUUCCACUCUGUAAUUUUGAGCUGUUUAUCCUGGCAAUCCGACCUCCUUAAUACCUCUUGUAUUCCUCUCUUCUUUAAAUCCCAUUGUCCUUGUUCCAGAUUAGGCCUUAAUACCUCUAAAGCAUUGACUGUUAAAACAGAUCAAACUCAUCAUGCUCCAAUUUGGUUCUAGCUUCAGGGUUUUUGCUUUAGUUAUUUAUUCCCUCUUGCUUAGAACAUUCUGUCCCCAGAUCUAGUUGUGGGUGGGCCCAUUGUUUCAUUCGGGUCUCAACUGAAAUAUCACCUCCUCAGGGAGGCUUUCCCUGACUUACCAAUCCAAAGAAGCCCCAGCAGUCACUCUUCUUUUACCCUAUUUCAUUUUCUCCAUAACAUCUAUUGCUUUCUGAAAUUAAUUAUCUUUAUUUUUCUUAUGUGGUUAUUUACUGUUCUCCCUGCCACUAGCUUCAUAAGCACAGGACUUUUGUUUGUCUGGUUCACUAUUCUAACCCCAGAGGCUAGCACAAUGCACAGAACAUACUAGGAGCUUCCAGGCUAGUCCCCUCCAAUCCACCUACAGCAGCCUCCAAAGAGCUGUUCCUAAUCUGCAAAUCUGAUAUCAAUCUUCUGCCUAAAAUCUUUACAGGCUCUCUUACUGUUCCUGGGAUAAAGUCAAAGCUUCUCAGUCCAGUGUUCAAGGCUCUCCAGGAACUGUGGGUAUGGACAGUCCACAGCUUGUUUUUGACUUCCCUUCCCCUCUCCCCAACUUGAACCCUCUAAUUCAGAUGUACUAAAAUGCAUACAGUUCUUGGAUCCUCCAGGCUUUUGAAAGCCCACAUACUUUCAUUCAUGUUGUUUCCAUUGCCUGGGAUACCAUUCCUUUGCCUUGGCACUGAGAAAACCCUUACUCCUUCCUGACUGUAGAGAACCGUGUGGUUUAUGAACAGCAAUCUAGUUGGCAGGAGGAGUGUGUUAAGACUUUCUUAUAGUUGUAUAUGUACACCAAAGCCACUAGAUUUACUCAUCUGGGAUAUUACUGACUUGAAAAUUCAGCCAAGUCUUCUUAGGAUGACUUUUAAGAAGUAGCUAUAUUGAGGUAUAAUUUACAUGCCAUAAAAUUCACGUUAUACAUGUACAGUGCAAAAAUUUUAGUAAAUUUAUAGGGUUGUAUAAUUAUUACUGCAAUCCAGUUUCAGAACAUUUGCAUCACCUCCAAAAAUUCCCUCCUGUCUGUUUACAUUUAAUCUGAACUCCCACCUCCAGCUCAAGGCAAUGAUUGAUCUGAUUUUCAUCUCUAUAAAUUUGCCCUUUC